This 243-nucleotide unclassified non-coding RNA is filed under the name Calycellina sp. RNAcentral describes it as "partial contains 5.8S ribosomal RNA, internal transcribed spacer 2, and large subunit ribosomal RNA". The record is from RNAcentral. Lineage: Eukaryota; Fungi; Ascomycota; Leotiomycetes; Helotiales; Pezizellaceae. RNAcentral also lists the same sequence under 2 other names.
AACGCACAUUGCGCCCCUUGGUAUUCCGGGGGGCAUGCCUGUUCGAGCGUCAUUUCAACCCUCAAGCACUGCUUGGUCUUGGGCCCUGCCGGCAACGGCUGGCCUUAAAAUCAGUGGCGGCGCCAUCGAGCUCUACGCGUAGUAAUUCUACCCUCGCGUGUGAGUCCCGGUGGAUGCUGGCCAGCAACCCCCAAUCUUUUUAUGGUUGACCUCGAAUCAGGUAGGGAUACCCGCUGAACUUAA